GUGUGUUUAAGGUUAGGAUUAAAAUCAGAUUUUGUCAGCUGGUGACCACUUUGCACAACUGCCUCCAGAACAAGAUUCAUGACAAUAAAUGCCAACCUGCCUCCAGAACAAGAAUCAUGACAAUAAAUGCCAACCUGCCUCCCUGUCAUCCCCUCCUAAUCUUUACAAGGCUGCAGAACAUGCAAGCUAGUGAUGUGGGGGUUCUCUCAUAACCCUCAGUCCCCAGGUGGGUAGAUGGCAGGUUGAAUAAAGAGAAGCUAGUGAUGUGGGGGUUCUCUCAUAACCCACAGCCCCCAGGUGGGUAGAUGGCAGGUUGAAUAAAGAGAAGCUAGUGAUGUGGGGGUUCUCUCAUAACCCUCAGUCCCCAGGUGGGUAGAUGGCAGGUUGAAUAAAGAGAAGCUAGUGAUGUGGGGGUUCUCUCAUAACCCUCAGUCCCCAGGUGGGUAGAUGGCAGGUUGAAUAAAGAGAAGCUAGUGAUGUGGGGAUUCUCUCAUAACCCUCAGUCCCCAGGUGGGUAGAUGGCAGGUUGAAUAAAGAGAAGCUAGUGAUGUGGGGGUUCUCUCAUAACCCACAGCCCCCAGGUGGGUAGAUGGCAGGUUGAAUAAAGAGAAGCUAGUGAUGUGGGGGUUCUCUCAUAACCCACAGCCCCCAGGUGGGUAGAUGGCAGGUUGAAUAAAGAGAAAACAAUAGGC
RNAcentral lists this long non-coding RNA (692 nucleotides) under Salmo salar (Atlantic salmon). Its description in RNAcentral is "lncRNA (ENSSSAG00000121813.1)". The record is from RNAcentral. Lineage: Eukaryota; Metazoa; Chordata; Actinopteri; Salmoniformes; Salmonidae.